UGGUCCGAGCCAGUGGUGGCGGCCCCGCCUCCAAAGCGGGAUGCCAGCGGGUUCGACUCCUGCCGGAUCAG
This 71-nucleotide transfer RNA is filed under the name Propionibacteriaceae bacterium. RNAcentral's name for it is "tRNA-Trp". Lineage: Bacteria; Bacillati; Actinomycetota; Actinomycetes; Propionibacteriales; Propionibacteriaceae. The record is from RNAcentral.